Molecule: long non-coding RNA, 916 nt
Organism: Tigriopus californicus
Lineage: Eukaryota; Metazoa; Arthropoda; Copepoda; Harpacticoida; Harpacticidae
Exons: 2
Source: RefSeq, a predicted model, not a curated record
CGAAGAAUUAACGAACAACGGAAGGCUUUGACUUCGAGGGGAAUAAUGAAGUAAAGAGGUGGAAGAGGAUUUGCGGGGAAACAUUCAUGAGUGACAAUGAGUGUGUGACCAGGGGAACAAGGAAUAAGAAGAGACCGAGAGAGGCGUUGAUUACGGAGGGAUCACGAUACUGAAGAGUUCAAGCAUUCUUAAUGAGAUCGGGUCGGAAUUGAAGACUCGACGUCUCGUUGUCGGAGAUUCGAAAAACAAACAGCAACUUCGUUGGUUUUUAACGACAGUGUUUCCACGGUCAGAAAUGCUCACUCUCAAUUCGAACAAGUGAGGAUGAUGAGCAAGUUUUGUGCAUUAUAUAAUUGAUUCAGUAGGACUGGAUAAUAUUGUUGGUGGGGAAACUAAACAAAAGCUCCAUCUUCUUUGAAAAUGAAAUGGAGGCCAGUCCGGCCACUAAGUGUCAAAUGAGCUCACCAGCCUUCCACCAUUGUCUAUGGAACGUACGUAAAGGGGUACUCUUAUUGAUUGGUAGUUCGUCCCAUAUGGAGAAAUGAAACACCCGACAGAGCUUUGUACACGAAUGCGGCGCGGUAAUUUAUUGAUCCAUUUUAUUUUCAUACCACCUCUAACCUCAAUAGUUACCCAGGGUAGUUGAGCAUGACAUCUUGGCGAGCCAGCUCCAACAACAUGGGGUCGUCGAAGAACUUAUUGAUGGACACAUCUUCGGACAGACCUUUCCUCCGUCUCGUCUUGAUCAUGAACUCGCGAGCCAAUGCCGUGGCCGGUUGGGCUUCCAAUGGCCGAAUGGUGAUCGUCUUGUCCAAGGGAUCCCCGGGUACAAUCUGCCAAUGGUGGAAUACUGACAUGCAAAACGCCUGUCCCUGCGUAUGCGUCCUCAGGUCCGUCUCAAACCCGAACGAGUCGA